AUGUACAAAGGAAGUCUUGUACAGGGCACUUGGACAUCUGGCAUCAUAUACAUUCCCUACUGCCAAUGCAAGAUGCUGCCCGUACCGCGGGAUGAGUUAGGGUGCCUUCUCUCCAAUUCCUUCGCUCUGGAACAGUUGAAGCUUGUAUUCUGUCAUGAUAUAAUUCACCUCGAGAUACCUUGCCUGCUGCAGCGUUUCAGUUUCUUGGAGGUGCUUGCAUGCUCGAGCCUUGAAGUGGUACAGAAUAAAGCCCAAAUCUCUCCAGAUUUUGGUUUACAGAUAGCCAAUGCACCAAUGGCAUCUAGCAAAUUCCUCCACCUCAAGGUCUUGUGUAUUAAUAUUUUUGGAAGCAAUUUCCACCGGGACUACGAUUAUUUAUCGUUUGUUUCUUUUUUUGAUGCUUCUCCUUCCCUGGAGACUUUUCGCUUAUAUGUAGGUAGGCAGCUCAACUAUGACUCGUUUGAGGGAGAUUCCUCAUCCCUGAGGCGAAUUCCAGAACACCGCCAUGGCAACCUCAAGAGUGUGAAGAUCACCGGUUUCUGCCCCCAAAAGAGCAUGCUUGAGCUAACACGUCAUAUUCUUCAGAAUGCAGCAUCACUUGGGCGCCUUACAUUGGACGCUAGUCCUGUAAAUUACCGGUGUUCUGGUAAUAUACUGGGCAGCAAAUGCUUUCCAAUGCAAACUGCAUAUAUAAGGGAGGCACAUAAAUCAAUCUUGGCUCCGUCGCCGCACACCUGCUCUGCCUCUCCGUCUCUGUCUCUCUCCCUCAAACCCGACGGCGGCACUGGUUUCUCUCCGGCGAGCAUCUCCCUGCCCCUUGGCCCUACCCAUGUACCCCGUGGUCGUGGGCAAUUCUUUGCCACACGCCGGCUCUUCCGUUGGGUCUCUUUUCCCCAACCUCGACGGCGCCAGGGUUUGCUCUCCGACGAGAUGUGCUCCUUUGAUCUUGAGAUGCCACGGGUGCAUCUUCUCUUCUUAUGGCCCGGAGGAUCCAUGUUUCGGACGUUAGAGCCGAUCCCUGAUGCAUUCCCCGUGGAGUCGCGGGAUUUCAUGAGCAUCGCCGAUACCCAGCUGGGCCGCGGCGGCGAGGGCACCCUCUGUGCGGGGACGCCGGCUUAG
This 1119-nucleotide ribosomal RNA is filed under the name Triticum aestivum (bread wheat). Its description in RNAcentral is "partial small subunit ribosomal RNA". Lineage: Eukaryota; Viridiplantae; Streptophyta; Magnoliopsida; Poales; Poaceae. The record is from RNAcentral.